AUAACAAAAAAAAACAACAGGUCGUGUCGAAUCGAGGAGGCGACGGCGGCGGCGGCGCCCGUUGACCGCCGACCGGCGUGCGGCUCCGAUUGAUGGAUGUGUGGGACAGUGGGAGUGGCCUACAGGGGGCAUUUCGCGAUUUCAUCUCAUGUCCCACUGACAUGUGGGCCCUGACAACGGCCCGGGGAUUAUCCCCUCCGGAUAUGUCCACCGCAUGUCCACAUCCCGCGCGUCCGCGGCGGAGGAACCAGCCGGACUGCCGGAGCGGCCUCCGCUCUCCAGUCUCCUCGCCUCGUCGCGUCGGAGGCGCCCGCGGCCACCGGGGACUCUUCGGCGCGUGGAGGAUGCACCUGAGGCCCGCCUUCCCUCCCCUGUCUCUCCGCGGUGAGCUGCAUGCUUGGGAUGAGGCCGAACCCGCAACCUCUGUCCCCACCUCCUCGUGGGUCUUGGUGACCUGCAAAGAGGGAUGCAGUGGCCUCCAUCCCAUCCUGCCGCAGCAGCAUCCCCAUUGUAGGUGGGGAAACGUUGGCGCCGGCGCGUGAGGCUGUCCUUGAUGAGUGGAGCACAGGGCUUGCCUCCAGCACAUGCCAGGGACGAGCGCGGCAGCGCCAUUUUGUUUCCAGGAUUUCCCAAUGGUGUGGACGGGGACAACACGGGGACUCUUGCCUGGCUGCAGCAGGAUGAUGUUCCUGGGACAGAUGCUUGCUUAUAUCAUAGGGGCAAAAGAGUAAGUGCAUGCAUUCCUUAAUUUUUGCUAAUUGAUCGGAAAUGUCAAACAAAUAAAACUGGAGGGAGUGCUUGGCAAAAUUAUUAGAAUUCUUUUUGGGAAAAUGGAGUAGUAGUAAUCGCGGUCAUGAAGCAGAUACACAGAGCAGUGAAUAUCUGUGUUGGUUCUGUAGAAUAAUUUCUUUUAUGAUGCAUAUAAGGCAAGCUAAUGCAUGGUAAACUUGAAAAUGCUCUAUCUAUAUAAGCUUGCACUAUCCCAGAAGCGAUGGGUUGAAGAUGUUGACAUGGAGCACUGCAACAUUAUAAAAGAAAUCCAAUUGCACUAUCAUUGUUGACAAGCGUGUAGCAGGGAAAUCCAAUUGCACAUAAACUAACCACAUCAGUUGCCUUCAGUGUAUGCCUGUAUGGAAACAUGUAACAUGGUAUAUUGUGCUAUAUUUCAUGCCAUGGUUUUUAAACCGAUAAGCAUCCUGUGGCGCCUUCGGUACGCCUUAUUGCCUAGGCGACAAGGUAUGACUAGGCCUUUGAGGUGCCUUGGGUACGCCUUAUCACAUAGCUUCAUGCUGUGCUACUUGAUUUUCAAAGAAUCAGUUACUGUAAUUUUUCUCUAAAAUAUAUGUUGGUCCAUACAAGUUCAACCUAUUUUUUAUUCAUACUUCUACUGGGGCUCUGAACGCCUUGGUAGUUUUUACAUACCAGUAAUAUCUUUGCUCUAUAUCGACUUGUGUGUCUUGUUGGUUUUAAAACACCUUGUUUCUAUUUUUGCAAGCUAGGGGCAUGAAUUAUCUUCACUUAUUGUAGCCCUUCUAUUGUUCACUGUGACUUAAAUUCGUAAUUUAUUGUUUGGAAAGAAAUGGAUUGUAAAGGUAACCCCAAAAUUCAGUUUCUUAAAUUGCCGUAUUUUUCCUCAAAUUUGCGUUGUUCAAUCAGGUCACAGAAUCUGGUCUUUCAUGUCUGAAUCAUGAAAUGUUCCUGAGAAAACUGGACAAAGGAACUCCACAGAUCAGCGUGGAUGGCUCCGGAGGUGUUACAUCAUGAACCUUCGGAUGAAAAGUCUGGUUUCUACUGCUAUGGGGUUAUUAUGUUCCCACUUGUUACUCGGAAGAUACCCUGGGAUAAUGUCAAUAAAAUGCAGGUUAUUGGAGCUGUGAGUUUCUUGGAUCAAAGGCCGGACAUUCCAAGUGACACAGAUCCCUAAUGGGCAAUUGGACAUCCAUGAUCAAGAGUUGUUUGGAUAGUGACCCAGGGAAACGCCCUUCGUUUCUAGAGCUGCUGGACAGGCUUAGGGGCGGUUCGGUGCGGCUCCAGCUCCAGCUGCACCGCCAGCUCCGGGAGGAGCCUCAUCUCCAUUGGCGGCUCCAGCGGGUGGUUUUUGUGAGAACUGUGGCUCCGCCAGCUCCAGCUCCAGCUCCACCCUUCCAAAGAGCCCUUCCAAACGGGAUCUUAAGGGUGUACAAUAGCAGUACAGCUUGCAGUCUCAGAUACAGCGUCUGCGGAUGCUCUGCUGAAAUGUGGUGCUGCGAAGAUGAGCGUUGGAGAUUGCUGGCACCAACUCCAAAUGGAAUUGGGUGCUGCUGGUGUUGGACACCAGAUCAAGCAAGCAGGGUGGUUCAUGGGCGGCAUAACUCAGAAUCUAGAAGGCACAACGCAUCUUGGUCGGCUGCUUUCAGGAGGAGCUGUCGCCGGAGUCAAGUUGCAGCAUAGGAAGCUUCAACAUGAGCAUCAAACCUGAGAUGAGACUGACAGUGGUUUGCGGCAUUUUUUUUUGGGUAUGAACACCCAAUUCGCUAUGAGCACAAAAAGAAAAGGAUUGUUUGUAAAUUGUAUGUGCUGCAUUGAUAAUGAGCAGAGUGUAGAACCUAUAAAUCUUAUUCAUAAAACUAGCAGGGACUAAACCAAAUCAAUGAGCUUUUGCUUUCUAACAAGCCUCAGAACUACAAAAAUCAAACAAAUUACAUGAAUGAACAUAUACUCAUCAUUCGGCACAGAAUCCCAGAUUGGUCUGUCCUUGGAAGUUGGAACUGAAAUCAAAUCCAGUCCCAAUCAAUCAUAUCCAGUCCCAUUCGAGCUAGCCGUUCUUUUCCCAUUCAGGAUCCCUCUAUAAAAAGCUGACACCGCGUCUCGACGCCCAACUCACCACUCUUCCACCCGCCCGCCCCCGCCGCAACGAGUCGCUUGUUCGAUUUGUCCUCCUCUCCUCCUCGCCCGCCCGCCACGCCCGUCCCCAUCCCAUCCGAUCCGACCGAUCCGAUGGCAUCCACGGCCUCGCCGCCGGCAGCCAGUGAACUUGAUUCUUAUCUCACUGAAAUGGAGUCUGUUAACGACGGGGUUGUUUCUGCGGGGAAUGGCAAGGGGGUGCGCAUCCUCCCAGGAAGGAUCGUGGAUUCCACUUGGCUGUUCGAUUCGUGUGCUACCAACCACAUGACUGGCGACCUGAACCUUCUCACUGGCAUGGUACCUGUGAGCAACAAGGUUGUUGGCACAGGGAGUGGCAAGGGGAUGCAGGUGCAUGGCACUGGGUCUGUGUUAACAGAAGCGGUGGUGCUCCCUGACGUGUGGUACGUCCCUGGCCUCGCUGCGAGGCUGGUCUCGGUGACCCAGCUCACCAAUGACAACCCCAAUCUGUUCAUCAGGAUGCUUGGUACUGCGUGCCUUGUCACCAAGAUCAGUGAUGGAUCUGUUAUUGGUAGUGCGCAUUUGAGGUCUGACAACAAGUACGAGGUAGACUUCUUGAGAAUUCAGCAGAAUUAGGUGCCUUGUUUAGCAGAAUUGAGGCGUAGCUGCAGCUGUGUCACAUUACAUACUGAUUUGCUUCAGAUGGCUGUGCUUCCCGGGAAAUAAGUACAGGAUUGGGAGUCCUUUUUCCCUGUGGCAGGUGUAUAUCUAUAGAUGGCACAUUUCAAUCAAGUACUAUAUGGCAAGGUCUGGAUGAUUGUGAUAUGUCUAAUGUGUUUACUUGGUUUAAUUGAGGUCCUUUGAUGAUUCU
This is an RNA transcript of Panicum virgatum (switchgrass), 3712 nucleotides long. RefSeq lists it as uncharacterized. The transcript is spliced from 7 exons. Lineage: Eukaryota; Viridiplantae; Streptophyta; Magnoliopsida; Poales; Poaceae. The record is from RefSeq and is a predicted model, not a curated record.